This 231-nucleotide ribosomal RNA is filed under the name uncultured bacterium. RNAcentral's name for it is "partial 16S ribosomal RNA". It matches the Rfam family "Bacterial small subunit ribosomal RNA", at positions 118 to 347 of the family's 1533-position model. The record is from RNAcentral.
UGAGGAACAUGACCUUCGGCGGGGAUAGCCGGCCCAACGGCCGGGUAAUACCGCGUACGACCACAUGGGGACAUCCCUGAGUGGUGAAAGCAGCAAUGCGCCGAUGGAGUGCCUCGCGGCCUAUCAGCUAGUUGGUGAGGUAACGGCUCACCAAGGCGACGACGGGUAGCUGGUCUGGAGAGGAUGGCCAGCCACAUUGGGACUGAGAUACCGGCCCAGACCUNACGGGAG